AAUUGAAUAAAUUUUGCCGUAGACAGUAGGUGGGCCCAGCCCUUAAUUUCCUACCGAGGUCAGAUGAUUAUAUAUUAUUAGUCUCUCCUUACGUUUACGGUGAGACUAUUUUUU
Molecule: small RNA, 114 nt
Filed under: Neofamilia massiliensis
Lineage: Bacteria; Bacillati; Bacillota; Clostridia; Eubacteriales
Description: Ribosomal protein L10 leader
Rfam family: Ribosomal protein L10 leader
About the family: This family is a putative r-protein leader autoregulatory structure found in B. subtilis and other low-GC Gram-positive bacteria. It is located in the 5' untranslated regions of mRNAs encoding ribosomal proteins L10 and L12 (rplJ-rplL).
Source: RNAcentral